Molecule: long non-coding RNA, 1114 nt
Filed under: Bos indicus x Bos taurus (hybrid cattle)
Lineage: Eukaryota; Metazoa; Chordata; Mammalia; Artiodactyla; Bovidae
Description: lncRNA (ENSBIXG00000023777.1)
Source: RNAcentral
GUACUUCUCCAAGGAGGAUAUUUGAGCCUUUGGAUAAACACAAUAUUUCUUUCAGGAGCAUCAGUUUUCCUUGAGGUGAGUAAUUUUAAACAUCUUCAUAUUAAGAGAAGUUCAGAUAUAUCAUGGAAUAGCAUGCAAAAUUCUCAUGAAUUUUUAAGAGAAAACAGAAGACUUCAAAGAGAGCUUGGGUGUGCUGGCAGGAGCUUCAGGCUGUGAGGUCCCCUGGGGGAACCAAAGGCAUUUCUUUUGUCUGCUGUUGGUGUACUUUAGCGGAAAAGUUUGAGAAGUGCUGAUUUCAGAUAAAAUGUUUUGAUCCCAGGAAUAAAAUAAUAAGGUAUAUUUCAAUAAGAGUGGCAGGGGCUUGGAAGUCAGGUUGGACAAGGUAGGGACAGAGCAGGAGACCAGGUAAAAGAUGGUUGUAGUAAACUCUCAGGAAAGGUGAAGGGCCUGGGGGGCUACCUGGGCCUCAGGCCCCUCCUCUUUUCCCCCAAGCCUCUUCAGAGGGCAUCUGCCUGAGAGAUGCCCCACCUGAAAGCCACGCCUUCCUUUCGCAGAAAAUCUGCCUGCCCGGCCAUGUCACCCACAACAUUGCCCACCUGCCACCUUCCAGCCCAGCAGGUUUAUUAGCUCAGCUGCCGGAAGGUACCAGAACGCAAGUGGUUGGACCAGUGAUUCUCUGGGAUGAGAAGAGGUGAAGAGAGAAGCAGUGCAGGUGUGAAGGUGUACAUCUGCAGGAAUGCCCCUGUACAUGCCGCUACAAGGAGUAAACAGAAAAGAGUCCAGGAGAGGAAAAGAAAAGCUGAGUGAAGUUGAACAAGAAAAUACUCAGCCAGGAGAGCAGGAGUAUUCUGAGGAAACAACUUCUAAACUGACUGCAGAAGAGGUGAGUAGCUGGGGUCAGGAAGCAGCCCGUGCAGAGGCCUGGAGGUAAGUGCCAGCAUGCGUGUCUGAGCAACUGUGGUCCCAAAGCUUAGGUUACAAGAGGUUGAGAAAUAAGGCUCAGAGAUAAGCAGGAGCCAGAUUACAAAAAGUCUUGUAAGACCAUGUUAAGGUGUGUGGGCUUUAUCCUAAGAGCAAUAGGGAGCCAGAAAGGAGUUAAAGCAAAGAAGUGGCG